AGGCAACUUGAUUCGGGGGGAUAUGGCAGCUUCCACUCUGAGGUGCCCUUACUUCAAAUCAGGCCCAGCCCAAGAUCGUGUUUUCCCUAAGCUGGGCUCAUCAUCAGAGAGGUGGGGGCCGGGCCAAAUCUUAAAGAGCCACUUGGCGACUCUAACGACUGGCAAAGAGGAAAGAAAUUGGAAUUCUAGUAGCAUGUAUCCAACUGUUUCAAACCUCCACCUGCUACAUGGGCGUGGCUUCUGAGAUCGACAUGCUUCCAACAGCUUAUACAGAGUGAACGGCAGAUGCGUCCUUUGGGGGUGAUCUCAGGGACGUCAGAAAGUCCCUGCCU
This 332-nucleotide long non-coding RNA is filed under the name Sus scrofa (pig). RNAcentral's name for it is "lncRNA (ENSSSCG00015071081.1)". Lineage: Eukaryota; Metazoa; Chordata; Mammalia; Artiodactyla; Suidae. The record is from RNAcentral.